Molecule: long non-coding RNA, 2311 nt
Filed under: Homo sapiens (human)
Lineage: Eukaryota; Metazoa; Chordata; Mammalia; Primates; Hominidae
Description: AFDN divergent transcript (AFDN-DT)
Source: RNAcentral
GCUCCACUAGGUGCUGCUGCCGCGGCCGCCAGGGAGGGAGGUGUCGGAGGGCGGGCCCCGCGCGGUGCUAGGGUUCCGUCUGGACUGGCGGUGGUGGGUCCCAACCGGCGGUACCGGGUUCCUUCCCGACCAGCGGUGCUAGGUUCGGUUCGGACGCGCGCUGCUGGAUCUAAAUGGGCAGUGCUGGGUCCGAUGGGUGGUGCUGUGUUGGGUCCGGACGCGCGGUGCAGAGUCCGGACGGGCGGUGCUGGAUCCAAAUGGGCGGUGCUGGAUCUGGACGGGCGGUGAUGGGUCCGAUGGGCGGUGCUAUGUUCGGUUCGGACGGGCGGUGCUAGGUCUAAAUGGGCGCUGCUGGGUCCGAUGGGCGGUGCUGCGUUCGGUCCGGACGGGCGGGGACGGGCGGUGCUGGGUCCAAAUGGGUGGUGAUGGAUCUGUGGACGGGCGGUGCUGGUUCCAGACGGGCGGUGCUGGGUCCAGACGGGCGGUGGGUCCGAUGGGCGGUGCUAGGUUCGGUUCGGAUGGGUGGUGCUAGGUCUAAAUGGGCGGCGCCGGAUCCGAUGGGCGGUGCUGGGUUCGGUCCGGACUGGCGGGUCCGGGUCUGGACGGGCGGUGCUGGAUCCAAAUGGGGGUGCAGUGCUGGAUCUGGACGGGCGGUGCUGGGUCCGAACGGGCGAUGGGUCCCAUGGGCGGUGCUAGGUUCGGUUCGGACUGGCGGUGCUGGGUCUAAAUGGGCGGCGCUGGGUCCGAUGGGUGGUACUGGGUCCGGACGGGCGGUUCUGGGUCUGGACGGGCGGUGCAGUAUCCAAAUGGGCGCUGCUGGGUCCGGACGGGCGGUGCUAGGUUCGGUCCGGACGGGUGGUGCUGGGUCUAAAUGGGCGGUGCUAGGCUCAGCAGGGGACCGGUGGGCGUGGCGGCACAGGUACGGAGCGCAGGGCCGGUGGAGCGCCCUCUCCGAAGGGCCCUGCGCUCCCCGCGCUCGCUGCUCCUCCUGCCCGCGCAUUGCCCCGGGGCUGCUGCGUGUUUCUUCCAGGGUGAUUCCUUUCCGCUGGGUCACUUCAAAGCCGACCUUUUCAAGCUGUUUUCUUCCGCGGAGGACACGUUGUUAGGCUUUGUGUGCAUUUCAAGGGUCAUGUUUUCUGAACCGCGCUCUGCCGCUCUUGGGGUGUUCGAGCCCCCACACUGCUGUGCGGUGUUCCUCUCACAGAGUGAGGUUGGAGGGUCCCACUCCCUUUGUGUGUCUCCUUAGAAAACGCCUCUUCUCUCAGACACAUCGUUAUCUGCCAAUUCUUCGCAGACGUAGAGAACGGACUGCAGAGUUAAUAAACGUCGAGGGGAAGCUUUGAUGCGCCCCAUUUGGCCCUGAGAGAUGCCACGUGAUCGUCAUUUUAAAUCCUUUCCUGGGCUUCCCGAUGGACUCGAGUUUUUACUAUGUGAGCAUCCCGGUGCCUGCACAGCAAGGACUCUCAUUGGGUUCCACACGUGCUGCGCAGAUCCCUGACGCAGCGUUCACUGAACCUCAACUGCAGGAGCUUCAUUCCUGAGGACGCUGUUACCAAGAAUGACUUGCCUCUUGAAGAAUGAGUUUGCAAAGCCGGCAGUUAGAUUGCUGAUGUCCAAAGUAAGUAUGUGUAGCAUCACUAAAGAGAAAAUUCAGGAUUCCUGGAAAACAGUUAUGGGCUCUCUGCAGUGUUAUUUUUGUAAUAAAAAACAUAUAGCAUAUGUGAAAUACCUACUGGGUGAUGCAGGACACAUAGAAGGCUCGAAAUUAAUGUGAAUCAUUCUCGUUUUUCUGACUGUCAUUAAAAGUCCCCAUUUGUAUUAUGUAUGAGUGGUAUAUCAAUAUCUAAACUACACUUUAUUGUAGGUCCCAACCAACAUUAGUUUAUUGACAAAUGUUUAAGAGCAGCCAAAAAUUCAUAGAAUACCUAUGAUUCUUAAAUCAUGAACACUCCCAUAACUGGUAUAUGUUUAGGACAUGAAAAUUUCCAGGCUGACAAAUAAUUUCGCUGUCAUCGGUCAAGACUCCAGGAUGAUAUUCUGAGCCAUAUGUUAAUUUUGAUAACCACCUAGAACAAUAAAAGGUAAACAUGCUACCAUCUUCUAUUCUCAUUGCACCACUGGAUUCUGGUACAUCUAAAAAUUGUACUUAAAUGAUAUCCAAGAAAUGCUGUAAAAAACAAAAUAGGGCCGGGCGCAGUGGCUCACACCUGUAAUCCCAGCAUUUUGGGAGGCCAAGGCGGGCAGAUCACGAGGUCAGGAGAUCAAGACCAUCCUGGCUAACACGGUGAAACCCCGUCUCUACUAAAAAUAC